Priapulus caudatus is the source of this 1017-nucleotide long non-coding RNA. RefSeq lists it as uncharacterized. The transcript is spliced from 2 exons. NCBI's taxonomy places the organism in Eukaryota, Metazoa, Priapulida, Priapulimorpha, Priapulimorphida, Priapulidae. The record is from RefSeq and is a predicted model, not a curated record.
GGAGACGAAUAAAAAAUUUGGGAGCAAUAUUGAAGUUGACAAGGCAGGGGUAGGAGGAGCCAUGAACUUUUUCGACGCCAAGGCGCGAGAAGAUAGGGACCGAGAAAAUAACAAAAACGAAUGCCUAGAGGAGCAAAGAAAGGACUACGAAAAGAAAAGACAGGAUAAGGAAGCCAAUAAAGUUGAACAAGAGAAAAGGGCUUCUUUUAAAGCCAGGGCACAGCAAUUCGAAUAGGGGAUACAUAGUAUGUUAUACAACAGGUUCAAAUGCUAGCUCCCUCCACCGAUGACAACAGCGAUAGUUACAUAUUAGACAUAGCAAUCUCCCUUCGUACUUAUUUAAACAUGCAAGAUGGUGUAAUUCCAAUCUCUUGCCUUAAAACAAUGUUUUGUUAAACUGCAAAAUCAUAACAUUGUGCAUUUUUGACUCUAUGCUGUUCGAAAUACUAAAUACUACAUAACAAGCUUUCAAAAGUAACUUGUCUCAAGUGACAAUUUUAUUUAACUUCACAUCUCAGCCAACAUAGUUCAAGGGCAAAUGAAUAGGAAGAGCCACCUGGUAACGCUAAUUUUAUAAUGGGCGCCUCGGUAUGUUUUUACGGUACAAUUGUGCAACCAAAUAGGGUUGCUAUUACUAUGCGUUAGUACUAUUACUGUGCAAUUGCACGCCUAACGCACGAGGCUGCGUUGAAGUGGAAGGCUAGCUUGAAACUGCAAGCCUCGUCUACUCUGGCGCGCAUCAAGUCGCAGGUCACUCUACAAGAACCCCAUCUUUUACAAAACCCCGUCGAAUCGCCCUCCAACAGAAUGAAUCUGUUUGACAGUGAAUUAGUUUGUGGUUCUGACCAGUCACUAACGACUACUGCCAUUUCACAGCAGGACCUGCUCAUAACUAGUCACGCUAGGUAUAAGCUGGAAGAAAUACUGCCUUAAAUACUAAUUGAAAUAGAAUCUCGAGUAAUUUUAAGUAAAAGGGGUCAUCAACCUACCGUAGCACCAAAAACUCAGUAGAAACAC